This 253-nucleotide ribosomal RNA is filed under the name uncultured bacterium. Its description in RNAcentral is "partial 16S ribosomal RNA". It matches the Rfam family "Bacterial small subunit ribosomal RNA", at positions 524 to 776 of the family's 1533-position model. The record is from RNAcentral.
UACGUAGGUGGCAAGCGUUGUCCGGAUUUAUUGGGCGUAAAGCGAGCGCAGGUGGUUCUUUAAGUCUGAUGUGAAAGCCCCCGGCUCAACCGGGGAGGGUCAUUGGAAACUGGGGAACUUGAGUGCAGAAGAGGAGAGUGGAAUUCCAUGUGUAGCGGUGAAAUGCGUAGAUAUAUGGAGGAACACCAGUGGCGAAGGCGACUCUCUGGUCUGUAACUGACACUGAGGCUCGAAAGCGUGGGGAGCAAACAGG